UACGGGGGGGGGCAAGCGUUGUUCGGAAUUACUGGGCGUAAAGGGCUCGUAGGCGGCCAACUAAGUCAGACGUGAAAUCCCUCGGCUUAACCGGGGAACUGCGUCUGAUACUGGAUGGCUUGAGAUUGGGAGAGGGAUGCGGAAUUCCAGGUGUAGCGGUGAAAUGCGUAGAUAUCUGGAGGAACACCGGUGGCGAAGGCGGCAUCCUGGACCAACACUGACGCUGAGGAGCGAAAGCCAGGGGAGCAAACGGG
Molecule: ribosomal RNA, 254 nt
Filed under: uncultured bacterium
Lineage: Bacteria
Description: partial 16S ribosomal RNA
Rfam family: Bacterial small subunit ribosomal RNA
Source: RNAcentral